GCUUUCGUGGUGUAAUGGUCAGUGCACUCGGCGCGUAUUCGAGAGGUCCAUGGUUCGAGUCCCGGCGAGGGCA
This 73-nucleotide transfer RNA is filed under the name Stegodyphus mimosarum. It matches the Rfam family "tRNA". Rfam says of the family: Transfer RNA (tRNA) molecules are approximately 80 nucleotides in length. Their secondary structure includes four short double-helical elements and three loops (D, anti-codon, and T loops). The record is from Rfam by way of RNAcentral. Lineage: Eukaryota; Metazoa; Arthropoda; Arachnida; Araneae; Eresidae.